This 478-nucleotide ribosomal RNA is filed under the name uncultured Bacteroidota bacterium. RNAcentral describes it as "bacterial SSU rRNA". It matches the Rfam family "Bacterial small subunit ribosomal RNA", at positions 28 to 505 of the family's 1533-position model. Lineage: Bacteria; Pseudomonadati; Bacteroidota. The record is from RNAcentral.
GAUGAACGCUAGCGGGAGGCUUAACACAUGCAAGUCGAACGGUAAGGUCCCUUCGGGGAUACACGAGUGGCGCACGGGUGCGUAACGCGUACACAAUCUACCUUUAAGUGGGGAAUACUCUCUGGAAACGGAGCUUAAUACCCCAUAGUACAUUAAUAGGGCAUCCUAUAAAUGUUAAAGCUCAGGCGCUUAAAGAUGGGUGUGCGUCCCAUUAGCUAGUUGGUGAGGUAACGGCUCACCAAGGCGACGAUGGGUAGCUGUUCUGAGAGGAAGAUCAGCCACACGGGCACUGAGACACGGGCCCGACUCCUACGGGAGGCAGCAGUGAGGAAUAUUGGUCAAUGGGGGCAACCCUGAACCAGCCAUCCCGCGUGUAGGACGACUGUCCUAUGGAUUGUAAACUACUUUUCUUGGGGAAGAAAAAGCCUGAUUUAUCAGGAACUGACGGUACCCAAGGAAUAAGCACCGGCUAACUCCG